RNAcentral lists this transfer RNA (72 nucleotides) under Phrynosoma platyrhinos (Desert horned lizard). RNAcentral's name for it is "tRNA-OTHER". The record is from RNAcentral. Lineage: Eukaryota; Metazoa; Chordata; Lepidosauria; Squamata; Phrynosomatidae.
GCCAGUGUAGCAUAGUGAUUUGAGCAUUGGACUAUGACUCUAGACGCUAGGGUUUGAUUCCCAACUCAGCCA